This 472-nucleotide ribosomal RNA is filed under the name uncultured bacterium. RNAcentral describes it as "SSU rRNA". It matches the Rfam family "Bacterial small subunit ribosomal RNA", at positions 26 to 518 of the family's 1533-position model. The record is from RNAcentral.
AGGACGAACGCUGGCGGCGUGCUUAACACAUGCAAGUCGAGCGGAAAGGCCCUUCGGGGUACUCGAGCGGCGAACGGGUGAGUAACACGUGAGCAACCUGCCCUUAGCUUCGGGAUAGCUCCGGGAAACCGGAAUUAAUACCGAAUAUGACUUUGGCUGACAUCAGCAGAAGUGGAAAGUUUUUCGGCUAGGGAUGGACUCGCGGCCUAUCAGCUAGUUGGUGAGGUAACGGCCCACCAAGGCGACGACGGGUAGCCGGCCUGAGAGGGCGACCGGCCACACUGGGACUGAGACACGGCCCAGACUCCUACGGGAGGCAGCAGUGGGGAAUAUUGCGCAAUGGGCGAAAGCCUGACGCAGCGACGCCGCGUGGGGGAUGAAUGCCUUCGGGUUGUAAACCCUUUCAGCAGGGACGAAGCGAAAGUGACGGUACCUGCAGAAGAAGCGCCGGCUAACUACGUGCCAGCACCGC